Non-coding RNA from Schistosoma curassoni, 70 nucleotides. NCBI's taxonomy places the organism in Eukaryota, Metazoa, Platyhelminthes, Trematoda, Strigeidida, Schistosomatidae. The record is from Rfam.
AAAAUAACUCCGCCUGUAGCUCUUAUAGGGUUGCUGCCGGUCCCAAGCCCGGGUAAAGGAGGAGGGUUGG